RNAcentral lists this ribosomal RNA (442 nucleotides) under uncultured bacterium. Its description in RNAcentral is "partial 16S ribosomal RNA". It matches the Rfam family "Bacterial small subunit ribosomal RNA", at positions 338 to 795 of the family's 1533-position model. The record is from RNAcentral.
CCUACGGGAGGCAGCAGUAGGGAAUCUUUCACAAUGGGCGAAAGCCUGAUGGAGCAACGCCGCGUGCAGGAUGAAGGCCUUCGGGUUGUAAACUGCUUUUAUAAGCGAGAAAUAUGAUGGUAACUUAUGAAUAAGGAUCGGCUAACUACGUGCCAGCUGCCGCGGUCAUACGUAGGAUCCGAGCAUUAUCCGGAGUGACUGGGUGUAAAGAGUUGCGUAGGUGGCAUAAUAAGUAGCUAGUGAAAUCUGGUGGCUCAACCAUUCAGACUAUUAGCUAAACUGUUAAGCUCGAGACCGUUAGGGGUAACUGGAAUUUCUAGUGUAGGAGUGAAAUCCGUAGAUAUUAGAAGGAACACCAAUAGCGUAGGCAGGUUGCUGGGACGGUUCUGACACUAAGGCACGAAAGCGUAGGGAGCAAACGGGAUUAGAUACCCCAGUAGUC